CGCCAUUGCCAAGCAAUAUCAGAAAGAAAGUUCACAUUCUCCAGAGAAGAUCAUCCAGUACUCAGUGACAAACCGCUCCAAGUCAUCAUGCAGAUCAUCGCCAUUGUGUGUUUCGGAUUGCUUUGCCUUACCUUCGAGGCUGUGUCGGCAUCCGGGCAAGCUCAACCGUUUAAAGCUACGCCUUUUUAUGAUUUAGCAGAAAUUGUACAAACGACCCCUAAAGUGAGAACGGUACGUGAUAUUUGCAGCAUCGUGGGCUACUGUCUACACGGCAGAGAUCAUUGUUAUCUCUACUGCCAACGCAAUGGGCACAAAUACGGGACGUGCAUCGGCAGUGUCAAUAAAUAUCAGUCUUGUGAAUGUUGUCGGUGAUCUAUGACUUACUAAAGGUUAUUCAAAAAAUUCAAUAGCUAGGAAAUAACGUUCGUAAAUUGGAGUUAUAGGAAAAAUAAUUUAUUAUAAUUCAUAUUUGCAAUAAAAAAGGUUUGUUCAUAUAGAAUUAACCGAUUUAUUUUGCUUCAA
Long non-coding RNA from Aedes aegypti (yellow fever mosquito), 522 nucleotides. RefSeq lists it as uncharacterized. The transcript has 2 exons. The record is from RefSeq and is a predicted model, not a curated record. NCBI's taxonomy places the organism in Eukaryota, Metazoa, Arthropoda, Insecta, Diptera, Culicidae.